UGUUUGUCCAUUUUUGUAAGUGUUUUUUUCACUCAAGCAGAACUUUAAUGUUCUAUAGUCAUUGCAUUUAUGAAGUGCAUAUAAAGGGACUGAUUGUAACUUUUGAGUCACUCUUUGUCUUCAGCUUCUCCAUCCGAAUUAAUGCAGACAGAACCACAUCCCUUACUGACACAAGACAAGAUACCUGUCACAGAUCAGUCUAUGAAUCUGGGGGUGUCCCUGGCUGUAGUUGUGCUGUUGUGUGGAAUUAUGACCGUCAUUUUUAUUCUGAUUAAGAAGAACAAUGCAAAGCGUUCAACAGACUUUUCUCAACCAAGGAUUUGCACACAGUCGGACAGGGUGAGUCGAAAAAGCCUAAUUUUACACAAACUUAUACAGAUUUUGAAAAAUAAAACACU
This 398-nucleotide long non-coding RNA is filed under the name Astyanax mexicanus (Mexican tetra). RNAcentral describes it as "lncRNA (ENSAMXG00005008699.1)". The record is from RNAcentral. Lineage: Eukaryota; Metazoa; Chordata; Actinopteri; Characiformes; Acestrorhamphidae.